GAUUACUGGGCGUAAAGCGCGCGUAGGCGGCUAAUUAAGUCAAAUGUGAAAUCCCCGAGCUUAACUUGGGAAUUGCAUUCGAUACUGGUUAGCUAGAGUGUGGGAGAGGAUGGUAGAAUUCCAGGUGUAGCGGUGAAAUGCGUAGAGAUCUGGAGGAAUACCGAUGGCGAAGGCAGCCAUCUGGCCUAACACUGACGCUGAGGUGCGAAAGCAUGGGGAGCAAACAGGAUUAGAUACCCUGGUAGUCCAUGCCGUAAACGAUGUCUACUAGCCGUUGGGGCCUUUGAGGCUUUAGUGGCGCAGCUAACGCGAUAAGUAGACCGCCUGGGGAGUACGGUCGCAAGACUAAAACUCAAAUGAAUUGACGGGGGCCUGCACAAGCGGUGGAGCAUGUGGUUUAAUUCGAUGCAACGCGAAGAACCUUACCUGGCCUUGACAUAGUAAGAACUUUCCAGAGAUGGAUUGGUGCCUUCGGGAACUUACAUACAGGUGCUGCAUGGCUGUCGUCAGCUCGUGUCGUGAGAUGUUGGGUUAAGUCCCGCAACGAGCGCAACCCUUUUCCUUAUUUGCCAGCGAGUAAUGUCGGGAACUUUAAGGAUACUGCCAGUGACAAACUGGAGGAAGGCGGGGACGACGUCAAGUCAUCAUGGCCCUUACGGCCAGGGCUACACACGUGCUACAAUGGUCGGUACAAAGGGUUGCUACACAGCGAUGUGAUGCUAAUCUCAAAAAGCCGAUCGUAGUCCGGAUUGGAGUCUGCAACUCGACUCCAUGAAGUCGGAAUCGCUGGUAAUCGCGGAUCAGAAUGCCGCGG
Molecule: ribosomal RNA, 814 nt
Filed under: uncultured bacterium
Lineage: Bacteria
Description: bacterial SSU rRNA
Rfam family: Bacterial small subunit ribosomal RNA
Source: RNAcentral